UUGGGUGAAAUUCAUGUGGGUAUCACACAUUGAAAAUAGAUCCCACAUAAAGUGGUGAGACCCACAUGAAUUUCACCCAA
This 80-nucleotide microRNA precursor is filed under the name Medicago truncatula (barrel medic). RNAcentral's name for it is "MIR5269 microRNA precursor family". It matches the Rfam family "MIR5269 microRNA precursor family". Lineage: Eukaryota; Viridiplantae; Streptophyta; Magnoliopsida; Fabales; Fabaceae. The record is from Rfam by way of RNAcentral.